Long non-coding RNA from Choloepus didactylus (southern two-toed sloth), 305 nucleotides. RefSeq lists it as uncharacterized. Lineage: Eukaryota; Metazoa; Chordata; Mammalia; Pilosa; Megalonychidae. The record is from RefSeq and is a predicted model, not a curated record. The transcript has 3 exons.
GAAAGAUCCUGCACAAGUUCUGGGUGUGCUUGGCAGCAUGGCUUGUGUCCGGAUACGGCAGGGUGGACUAGAAAUGAAUGGGUGACUUAGAGACUGAGCAACCCUUCCAUACCUCUGGAGAACUACAUUUGGAGGUGAGGCCAACUGCAGACAGAGCUGUGAAACUUAAAGAGAGUACCAGUGCUAUGACCACCUUGGAAACAGCUCUUUCCAAAGUAUUGAGAGACAUAAAGUACUGUGGAGACAGUGACAAGGAGCAUGUGACUUCACGUGAAAUGCCUGUUCAAAGUUGAGAAGUUUGUCAC